Molecule: non-coding RNA, 144 nt
Filed under: Dehalobacter sp.
Lineage: Bacteria; Bacillati; Bacillota; Clostridia; Eubacteriales; Desulfitobacteriaceae
Description: c-di-GMP sequence
Rfam family: c-di-GMP-I riboswitch aptamer
About the family: GEMM was predicted in a large-scale screen for bacterial structured RNA regulatory elements. Genes associated with GEMM are involved in a diverse array of functions, including chemotaxis regulation, signal transduction, secretion and chitin.
Source: RNAcentral
AAUGUGUUGGGGCAAACUUCACGAAAGUGAAGGACGCUAAAGUCAUGGGUCUAAAUCAGGGAAUUUGAAAAUGCAUGCAAUACAAAAUGAAUGGAAUCCAAAUGCAUUUCCAGGAUAUUCUGACAGGAUUGCCAGACUACAAGG